Molecule: ribosomal RNA, 466 nt
Filed under: uncultured bacterium
Lineage: Bacteria
Description: bacterial SSU rRNA
Rfam family: Bacterial small subunit ribosomal RNA
Source: RNAcentral
UGGGGAAUAUUGGACAAUGGGUGAGAGCCUGAUCCAGCCAUGCCGCGUGCAGGAAGAAGGCGUUAUGCGUUGUAAACUGCUUUUGCCAGGGGAUAAAAAGACCGUGCGCGGUUAAUUGAAGGUACCUGGUGAAUAAGCCACGGCUAACUACGUGCCAGCAGCCGCGGUAAUACGUAGGUGGCAAGCGUUGUCCGGAUUUAUUGGGUUUAAAGGGUGCGUAGGUGGCCCUGUAAGUCAGUGGUGAAAUAUCUCAGCUUAACUGAGAGGGUGCCAUUGAUACUGCAGGGCUUGAGUACAGAUGAGGUAGGCGGAAUUGACUGUGUAGCGGUGAAAUGCAUAGAUAUCGUCAAGAACACCGAUAGCGAAGGCAGCUUACCAAGCUGUAACUGACACUGAGGCACGAAAGUGUGGGGAUCAAACAGGAUUAGAUACCCCAGUAGUCCCUGAGCGGGCUGGCAAGGCGCAU